Molecule: ribosomal RNA, 843 nt
Filed under: Eugenia macrocalyx
Lineage: Eukaryota; Viridiplantae; Streptophyta; Magnoliopsida; Myrtales; Myrtaceae
Description: eukaryotic LSU rRNA
Rfam family: 5.8S ribosomal RNA (bases 384-539)
Source: RNAcentral
UCCGGUGAAGUGUUCGGAUCGCGGCGACGUGGGCGGUUCGCUGCCGAUGACGUCGCGAGAAGUCCACUGAACCUUAUCAUUUAGAGGAAGGAGAAGUCGUAACAAGGUUUCCGUAGGUGAACCUGCGGAAGGAUCAUUGUCGAAUCCUGCCUAGCAGAAUGACCAGAGAACUCGUAACGAAUUCAAUGGGGACGGUGGGUUUUUUUCCCAUCGGCCCUCGACGCUCGGAUCGCACGGGUGCCUUGAGCGCUCGGGCUUUCCUGGCGGCACAACGAACCCCGGCGCGGAAUGCGCCAAGGAACUCGAACAAGAGAGCGAUGCUCCCAUCACCCCAGACAUGGUGCGUGUGUGGGACGCCACGUGAUCUCCUUAUUAUUCACAACGACUCUCGGCAACGGAUAUCUCGGCUCUCGCAUCGAUGAAGAACGUAGCGAACUGCGAUACUUGGUGUGAAUUGCAGAAUCCCGUGAACCAUCGAGUCUUUGAACGCAAGUUGCGCCCGAAUCCAUUCGGACGAGGGCACGUUUGCCUGGGUGUCACACACGGCGUUGCCCCUAAUCCCUCGCCUUGAAUUGGGCGGGUAAAGUCGGGUGCGUAUGUUGGCCUCCCGCGACGACUUCGUCCCGGUUGGCCGAAAAUCGAGCGCUGGAGCGAUUAGCACCACGAUAUUCGGUGGUUGAUGAGACCCCAUGUUCAAUGUCGUGCGCGUCGCUCGUGGAGGCGUUCCACGAAUCUACUCUUUUACCAACGCGACCCCAGGUCAAGCGGGGCUACCCGCUGAGUUUAAGCAUAUCAAUAAGCGGAGGAAAAGAAACUAACGAGGAUUCCCCUAGUAACGGCGAG